Molecule: long non-coding RNA, 140 nt
Organism: Octopus sinensis (East Asian common octopus)
Lineage: Eukaryota; Metazoa; Mollusca; Cephalopoda; Octopoda; Octopodidae
Exons: 3
Source: RefSeq, a predicted model, not a curated record
UUAGGAAUAUAUCGAAAAUUGUGGAGGCGCACUGGCCCAGUGGUUAGGGCCGCAGACUCGCAGUUGUAAGAAUGCAAUUUUGAUUCUCAGACUGGGCAUUGUGAAUGUUUAUUGAGCAAAAACACCUAAGCUCCACGAGG